GUCGGGAUACUGCCCGGUGAAGAUGGUCGGACGGCUGGGCACGCA
This is a non-coding RNA of Mycobacterium sp. GA-2829, 45 nucleotides long. The record is from Rfam. NCBI's taxonomy places the organism in Bacteria, Bacillati, Actinomycetota, Actinomycetes, Mycobacteriales, Mycobacteriaceae.